GCGGGGUGAGGCGGGGUGAGGCGGGGUGGAGGGGGGGGUGAGGCGGGGCGGGGCAGCCAGGCACAGGGCGGGUGGCGCCCACCUUCCGGGCGGCAGUGACUUCCUUGGUGAGCCGGGCAAUGACGCGGCAGGCGGCCGUGCUGGUACAGCGCAUGCGGCAGCUCCUGGCGGGUGGUCUGCAGCUGCUGGCGCAGGGGUGAAGCUGUGCAGCAUGACGGCAUCCUGGGGGAAGGGCUGCACUGAGGGCGGGAGGCGCACACACCAGGCCCGAGGCACCCCGACUCGCGGGCAGACGACGCGCUCCGCCCGCACACCAACCGGCCCAGACUGCGGCCCAGACCGCGGCCGGCUCCCUCCCAACCCAACGCUUCCGAGGAUGCCGUGCGCGCAAGGCCAGCACCACUCUGGGCAACGCCACAAGGAAGUCCCGUGCCACAGGCUUGUGCUCCCUGUCCUGCCCCUCAGAACCCGGAGAAACAGCGCUAAUCUAUGCCCUGCAGUCAGGGAAACCGGGACUCAGACUGAGCAACACGACCCCAGCCACACUGAAGCACUGGAGCCAGGCCAGGAACCCGGGUCCGUAUGACUUCAGCCACCAGGCAUUCCGAGCCGCGCAGGAGGCCCAGCCGCAGGCUCAGCGGGAAGAGGCAGAGACAGCACAGCCGCACCAUCCCUCUCCCCCUCCAAGCUCACCCACUCGUCCUGCAGGGCUUUCAGGAUGGCUGGGAUGCUGGUGGCCGAGGGAGGCUUGGGCCGGAUCAGGGUGAGCAACUGCCAAGGCAGAGGAAGGCCACCGUGAGGGCCGGUGGAGGGCCCCAGCCCACCUGCGCUCCCUGCGCCCCGGCGGGGCCCGGGCGGCACCUUUGAUGUCGAUGAGCUGCUCCUCGGAGAGCGGCUGGUUGUUGAUGGGGUCGGUCCCAUUCUCCGCGAUGUACUUCUCGAUGAGCCGCCGCUCGUACACGUGAUUGGACACGGGGGACACGCACGGGUGCUCUGGGACCUCAUUGGAGACUGCAGAGGAGCGGGUGUGAGCUGGGGCAGAGGGCAGGGGGCAGGCGCCCGGGCCCCUGGCUGCCCGCUCCUCGCUCCUCGGACGGCGUCUCCGUCUCCUCCUGACGGCCCCCAUCACCGCUCACCCGGCGCCUGCCGCCUCCGAGCAGCCUGGAGCCCGCACGGCCCCCAACCCGGGGCAACGCUGGCCAGGCAGGUGAGGCCCAGGAGGACGCCUCGGACUCCGCACACGGGGAGGGCCGCAGCUGCAGCGCCGUCGCCACUUCCGGGCCGGGCAGCCUCGGCCGAGCCUCGUCUUUCCGAGCCCUUCAUCCGCCUCUGCGGAGCCGGCACCGGCCGGGCCCCCACCGCGUCCUUGGCCCCGCAAUGUGGCCCGGCUCUACGGACUGCGGGGGCGCGGACACGGCGGUGGGCGGACAGGGAAACUGAGGCCCGCGGCCGCCACCAGGCGCGUGCUGGGCAGUCCCGGGUCGGCGAGAAAGCGCCCGCCCCCCAUGCCCACUGGAGCCAGCGCUGGAGCCGCGCCCGCGCCCGCCCGACCCGGCCCGGCCGCACUCACUGGAGCAGAUCAGGGACAUGGCGCCGGCCGCGCGCCCUGCCGCCUCACGCGCCGGGCUCCGGAUGCGCCCCUGCCCGCCCCCGGCCGCUUCCGGCUCCCCGGGGCUUCCGAGACGCUCCGCGGUGAGAGGGGCGGCCCGCGAGCGGGAGGCCGCGCUGCGCUUCACGUGCGAGGGCGGCCGGCGGCGGCUCGGACGGACCCCAGCGCCCAACGGAAACUGCGCUUUCCCACAAUACACCCCGGCCGGAAACGGCCUCCCAAGGGUGUUCUGUUCCUUCCGGUUGAACUCGGCUGAGGGACGGGAGGCGGGAAGGAGAGCGGAAGGUACCCUUUCCUCGUUGCCUCGGGAACGCGAAGUCAAAGCGGUUCGCCCGCGGCUGUUCUGGCAGCAGCGCCGCGCGGAACAAGGGGCACCGAGGCUUUGAAACUUUGGUGUGCGAGAGAAUUUCCUAAGAGCUCGUUAAAACAGAUUCUUUGGGUGCCCCACGGAGUCCCCAGGUCUCCACGUGGUUCUCGAUGGGCUUUUGCACUGAGCUACAUCCCAGCCCAUUUUAUUUUUUGAUUUUGAGACAAGGUCUCUCUGAGUCACUGAAUUGUCCAGCCCCCAGGCUGGUCUUGAACUUGCCAUCCUCCUGCCUCAGCCUCCUAAACUUCUGAGAUCACAGGGUGGACCACCACUCCCACCGCUUCCCAACUUGCUGUA
This is a long non-coding RNA of Heterocephalus glaber (naked mole-rat), 2273 nucleotides long. Lineage: Eukaryota; Metazoa; Chordata; Mammalia; Rodentia; Bathyergidae. The record is from Ensembl.